Molecule: long non-coding RNA, 4389 nt
Organism: Callithrix jacchus (white-tufted-ear marmoset)
Lineage: Eukaryota; Metazoa; Chordata; Mammalia; Primates; Cebidae
Source: Ensembl
AUGAUUGCCAUCUGCUGUGGACAUACGACCAGGCUUACCCAUGGAUGGGGGCUGCCAUGGCUGGAACUGAGAUGCUUUGAGAGAUCGGAAGCCAGGAGUAGGGAGCAGCAUGCUGCAACACUACCUCUACAACCAUCAAGUCCAGAGCAACACUUGCCCCUAGUUGACCUUGAACAGUAUUUGACUCAACAACCACUCACUCCAAGAGAGAAAUAUCUGAGGGCAACAUGGUUGUUCUCUCUGGGAGAUGACCCUUGUGACCCAGGCUUAUCCAGCCCCUGAGGACUAUCACAGUGGUAGCAAUGGUGAGUGAGAGUGAGGAACUCCAGAAAAUGAGGAGUAGGUCAAGUUGGACCAGUGUUUGGGACUGUGUAUUUCCCUAGGGUUCAAGAAUGGGAAAUUAAAGGGCUGGAGCUUCAGAAGUCUUCACACCAGCAACAAGGACAGCCUGGCAAAGAACUGCAGAGAAAGUUGUAAAACAGAAAGUUGCUUUUUUCUAAACCAUCAAAAAUUAAAGAAAAAUUUUGUUCAAGCAUGCUUGAAUAAAAGAAGUUUUGACUUUUUCAACAAGAUAAUUAUCUUUCUAUUCUUUCUGCCAUAAAAUUGUUAUAUGAAGGGUUGACCAAGGAAAAUGCAUCUGGAGGUAUAGGGAAAAGCAACAUAGAGAUACAGCAGGCAGAUAAUAAUAACAACACUAAUAACUUACCAAUUCUAGGCCUUUCAUGAUGCCUUUUGAUAUCAUGUUGACAGUUUUAUAACAUUUGCAGUCCACCUUUUCUAAAUAUUUACUCCUACCUGAAUUGGUAGCAAUAAGUUUGUAUUUUCAAAACUCACAUCUGCUCCUGUGUAUUGCUUUCUCUUUAUUCCAGGUGUCCACUUUUCUCUCAUAUAGAUAACUAAUCUUCCUGAUUUGUCCCUGUCUCUCUCCACUCAAUUCACAAAAGGACAGCCAGAGGAAUUAUUUUAUACUGUAAUCUGGGCCAAGCCCCUCUUCUGUUUGAAACCUGUCAAUCACUCCUGGUCUCAUUUACAGUCAAGGUCAAAGUCAUUAUCAGUGGCCAAAAUCUUGCCCUACUUAUCUCCCUCAGCUUAUCUCUCCUCUCUCUCUCUCUCUCUCUUCUCUUGCUUACCACUCACUCACCUUCAGUCAGGUUGGUCUCUUUGCUGUUCUGAGAAUGUAACAAUUAGCCUCCUUGGUUAAGAACUUUAUACUUGAGUCCCUUUUCCUGUAAAAUGCUCCCAUAUUCACACAUUCUUUUCCCUGAUUUCCUUAGGAAUUAUAAAGAGCAGUAUCUCAGUAAGAAUUCUCCAGUCAUUUUAUUUAAAAUUGAUUUCUCAACACCCACAAAGACAUCUUCUCUCUAUUGGAUGCUUCUGAAUACCAUUAUUACCUUCUAAAAUGCUAUAAAGUCAACCUGCUUGUUUGUUUAUUGCAUUUAUCUUCUCCUUCCUCUCUAUAAAGACAAGGAAUUUUGCCUGAUUUGGUCACUUUCUCUUCACUCUUCUAAUAUCUAAAAAAUGCCUGUCACAGUGUUGGCCCUCAGUUAAUGCCUGAGGCAUUCAUGAAUAAGCAAGUAAAUGAGUGAAUUGUUUAUGCCUCCUGAACUCUUGCAGCUCAAAUUCUAAAGACAGAAACAUCAAAGUCUUCAAUUAUUGUUCUGAUUCUAAAUAUACUAGGAAGUUGUUGAUGAUUUGUGACUGAUCAAGUAAUGUCAGAAGAUAUUUAUGGAAAAUGGAUUGGAAAUUAAUUGAAGUACAGAAAAGCACCUGGAUCCUAAGUGUAUAAUACUGUUUGGAGAUGUGGCCUGUUUGGGGAGAAGAUUAGAGACCAAUUAUUUAGUAAUAAUGUAAACUGGAUCUGCACUAGAGUAACAGAAACACAGGUAGGUUCUUGGCACAUUGAUCCUGAAAAUUUUAUGAAUGAUGUUUCUAGUUUUAUUUUUGUUUUCUUUUCUGUAUUUAUCCAAAUAUUUGGACUUGUGUAGGAGAUUCCCAAAUUAAAACUGAAUUACCAAAAAUGUCUAAUGUUACUAAAUAAUCCAAGUCUACCAUUGGUGAGGUUGUUAACGAGACUUCAGGAAGUUUUCUUCUAGGAGCAAAUGAUUAAUUAUUUUUUAGAAAUUUAUUUGCUGCCAUCAUUUUCACCUGCAGAGGGUAUAACCUGUGGGGCCUACUACCUUAAUAUGUGUGAAAAUGGGAGAUACAUUUAUUCCAUCUGUGCAUAAAACCACAAGGAAACUUACUCAACAAAAUAGAAAAGGAUACUAGUGGGAACAGUAGGUUUUCCCACAUCUUUGGUUCCCAAUGUUUACGGGCAUCCCCUAUCCCAAACCUAAAAAUAGCAAAUUACUCUUCACAGACCAAAACAUACACACGAAAAGCUGGGGAAAAGGGAAAGCAAAUGGGAAGGGAAGAGGAGGGGGUGGAAGUAAAUGAAACGGAAGCAGGCUGACACCUGUUUUCCUGCACAAUGAUCAUUAAAGUCAUCAUAUAUUCUGCCAGAAGCUUUAUUUUAAAUACCCUUGUCUGCUCCCUUCUGGAUUAAAUAGUUUUGAAUAUACAUUUAAUUCCAAUUACUUUCAAUCACAGUCAGUGACUGCAGUUACAUUUAAUAAACAGCUUUAACUUCUUCCAGAAAAAUAAUGAAGGGAAGUACAGGAAAGGCUAUCCCCAUCUUGUUCAUUCAGGAACAUUCAUUACAUCUGAAUAUAAAGUAGUCUUUUUGGUCCCUCAAUUAAUGCAAACUGAUUAAAGCCAGCUAUCACAAUUCUUAAAAUAUAAACAUUUUUUUAAAGUGAUAAAAGGCUUAGAAUAGGCAAUAAUUUGAUAGAGUAGUACUGGCCCCAAGAGGAACUCUCACUAUGAGGCUAAGGUUUAAUCUUCAAAUGGAAAUUUCUGGAUACCUAAGCUAUACUUACAUCAAAUUAAUGUCUUACAAAUAUAAAGGUUAGUAUGUUAUGCUGCUUCAGCUAGCUGUGAAAAUAUGGAUCAGUGUUAAUAAUUGCAAGGUCCAUCUAUGAUACAGCAAAUGUUUUUCUGUUUUUUAAAAUUAGUAUUUAUUGAUUAGUAUAUGGUUAUAUGCUUCACCGGUAUUACUCUAUUAAAUAAAUAUAAUAAUUGUUGCUGAACACAACAAUUGCAUUAUGUUUUCUCUUGAUAGUUAUAUGUGUUUGUUGCAAUGAACAUAAUGAUAAUCCAGAAGUGUUAAGUUCUGACUGUACCAAUAACACUCAUGUUUUUAAACAAAUGGUGUGUUGAUUUAAUUAACAACUGUAGAAUUUAUUCCUAACUACAGAAUCAUUACUGAUAAUUUUUAGAAUAUCAAUAAACAUACAUUUGGUUUAAAAUGCACAUUAUUAGAUGAAAAUGAACAAUGUUUUAAGAUUAUCAUGAUAUUAAGUAUCUGGAAUCAGCUUCAAUACUAUGUCUUGUUAACUACCAAUCAUACAAAUGAUAAUAUGUAUGAUUGGUAAACCAAUCAUACAAUCUAGACAUAAUAGUAACAACAGCCACACUGGACAACGAUCAACAGAAGGCAGAUUGGUGGGGAGUAUAGACACUGGAGAAGGGGAUUUGUACAAAUAAAACUCCCAGUCUUUUGCUUAUGGCACAAGCAGAGGGUCUGCUGUUGUUGGUAGAAUAACUACAGUGUUGUGAGGUAGGAAGUCAGAAAAAUGAAUCCAGGGAAACUAUGGCUACUGAAAGUACUGGAGUUCCUAGAAGGAAAGAAUCAGAGAGGUGAUCACAUAUUCUAUUAUUGACUCCUGAACUCUCUAUAUAUGAUACAGUCUCAAAUCAACUAAACUAAAUACAUAAGAUUGGGUUUAAGAUGGGCUUCUACCCAAGAAACAGAGUGUACAUUUCUAAUUUGUCUAAACUGACUUUGAAACGGCCCAGUUGUUGGAACUAGCAAACAAGUGUUUAAAGUGGCUAUUAUACUUCCUUUCAGUGAAGUGAAGCAAAAUAUGCUUACAUGAAUGAAAAUAUAGGAAAUCUCAGUGAAGAAAUAUAGAUAACGUAAUAUAAAAAACUAAGUAGAAAUUCUAAAACUAUAAAACAAAUAUACAAAAUGUAUUACUGAUGGACUUAACAGUUCAAUGUAAGUAAUAGAUAAUUCAGUGAACUAGGAGAUAAACUGAAAAACAGAAUAAUAAAUCUUAUAAAUGAUUAAGAGAGCCUCAGGGACCUUUGAGAAAAUAUCAAAUGGUCUAACAUACAUGUUAUUAGAGCUCUAGAAGGAAAAUAAAAGAGAAAAUAGACCAGAAAAAAAAACAAAGAACUAAUGUAUGAGGAUUGUCUAAAUUUGAUUUAAGUCAGAAGUUUCCACAUAGAAUAUUCUUAACAAACAAUAAACCGAUGAAAAAAAAAUACAAAAAAAGCUGUGCCUCA